Molecule: long non-coding RNA, 2587 nt
Organism: Chrysemys picta bellii (western painted turtle)
Lineage: Eukaryota; Metazoa; Chordata; Testudines; Emydidae
Source: RefSeq, a predicted model, not a curated record
AAAAAAGUACAGGAAAAGCUUCUCUCCAAGCAGAAGGGAGCCCCUAGUGUUCACAGUCCAAGUGUAAAAAGAAAAGAAAAUGUUUUCAGGCUGGAGGAUUUCCACACUGGGGGUGGGGUACGUGGUGGCAACUGCCUCUUUAAAUCUCUCCACUGGGUUUUUCUUCUGAUCGGCUCUACAGGUGACGUGUGCUAAGAUCACCCCCCUCUGAGGGAGCGCUCUGUUGUGCCUUGUGACCCAGCAUAAGGAGUAUUUUGAAACCUCUUUGCGAGCACCCUGCUAUGCCAGACCACAAACAGGGAUACAGAAGCAGGUUUGGGUCGCAACUGCUCUUGGGGCCCUGGACACAACCACUGCACAGUAUGUAGGGAAUAGGUUGACCACAGACAUCCCUCCUGGCUGCCUCAUCCAGUGGCAUAAUCCCUCCACAAAGUUGGCUGCUUUGCCCCGCUGCAGAAGGAAUGUUGUGUUAAUGAAGCUAGAAUAACUAAAGCAUUUGGAUUUUUGGCUUGAACAGUCCCAGAGUUACAAGGCUGCACACACACUAUUUACCCAGGAUUAUUACCUCUGUUGAUCUCCCCUUUGAUCUGAUUAAAAAUUGCCUAGGAAGUAAUGGAAAUUCUACCUUGGAAUCCUGACUGGCGGGGUUGUAAUUUUAACAACCCUGAGUUGAAGGCAGGGAGACCAAGGUCUGAAGAUGCUUGAAAUUGAAUUAAAAGGACACUGUUAAGGACAUAUAAGCAGGAGUGCCGCCAACCUUUUUGCCGCCCUAGGCAGCGGAAGGUCCCACCCCCGAAAUACUGCCCUCGACAGAGGCAGCGGAAGGUCCCGCCCCCAAAAUACCGCCGACGACCGUGGCGGCCGAAGAUCCGGCCGCCGCCGUCACCGCCCCCCAAAUGUUAGCGCCCUAUCGCCUAAUGGGUUGCACCGGCCCUGCAUAUAAGCAGUGUUGUUUCAGCCAGUCAGUCCCAGGAUACUAGAGAGACAAGGAAGGUGAAGUGAUAUCUUUGAUUGGACCAGUUUCUGUUGAGGUGAGAUAGAAGCUUUUGAGCUUACACAGAGCUCUUAUGCUUCAGGAUGGCACCUGCCCACACCUUUUUCCUUAUGCUGGAGUGGUCCCUUCAGUCCUUGCACAAGCAAAGCAACCACUGGACCAAACCCUGUGUUGACUUACAUCCUGUGCAAUCCCAGUGCCUCCAGUGUGCACUGUGGGGGACUGGACUUGUUCUAGUUAAUAAGAAGCAAUUCUGAAAAGAGCAACCCUACAAUAACAAGCUUAUGUAUAUUCUGGGUAGGAGGGUAGUAAAUUUCCAGUGAAGAAACAUGUCUAGGUCAAGCAUCCAAGUGUGGUAUUUACAGUAACAUAACAACAGCAACGUUUGAAAAUUCUAAGAAACACUCACAUGAAGGUCAAGGGAUUAUUGUAUGUGAAUGACUUCAGGAUAGCACCUCCAAAAUUCCCUGUGAACCUAUUUAGACAAAGCCCAAAUGAGCCUGAAACUCCAUGCAUAGACAUUUCCUGUGGCAUUGCAGAUAAUGUUUUCAUCUUCCGCUCAGUUGUUGCCAGAACCUUUAUCAAGGUGGAUUGUGUGGAUGGCUUUCUGUGUCUGAUGAUUAGCCUGGAGAAAUGCUGCUGCCGCCCCUUGGGGAUGUGGAUUAAUUAACUGGCGGAAGAAGUUCUCCUGUUGGUGUAGUAGCAUCUGCACUAAAGCGCUACAAUGGCACAGCUGCAUCAGUGCCAGUUCACCGCUCUAGCGCUGUACGUGAAGACAAGCCCGUAAUUCGAUCGGACUAGGAGGAGGAAGAGAGACAGUGAUUAGGUUCCUGAUUGUGAUUAUGCAAGUUGUAGAAUGAAGGUUCUGUACCCACCUUUGCUAUUUUAUGCUAUUUUUCAUGACUGGUUAUGGGGGAAGGAGAAGAGGGGUGUUGUUCUGUAUAGUGGAGUUGAGAUACUAUCUUUUUAAAGGUUUCAGAGUCUUUUUAAAAUUGGCUUUGUUCUGCCCCGGCCUGAGGACACAAGAAACUGCGUCUGAGUUCAGCUCUGUGGAGCUUGAAAGCUUGUCUGUUUCACCAACAGAAGUUGGUCCACUAACAGAUAUCACCUCCCCUACCUUUAAAGUCACACAUGUGCUUAAGUAUCUUCUUGAUUCGGGGCCUUCAUUAGCGAAGUAUUACUGAACUAGCUGUGGCUGACAUCACUUAUGGGCAAGAGUGGCCAGUUUAAGUAGCUCAUUCAUCACCGCAAGCAGCUAUGUUUGGAGUCAGAUACUGCCAAUUACGUGUGUCGUCCCCCACCCCCACCUCCCCUCUUCUCAGUCCCUCUAGCCUGUGAUGAACAAUGUUUAUUCUACGCGUUGGGGAGUGGGGAAGCUCUGAUAAAUCUAUUAAGUUGUUUUCCCAUUGUAGCAAAAAUAACAGCAGGAGAAAAAAUCACUAGGAAAAUGAGCUCACCUCAAGCUGCCCAUUACUGUAAUUGUUUAUGCUUUGUUCCAGAGCAUAUUGAUAGCGUGGUAACAACGUGUGUAAUUUGGGAGAUGAGCUGGGUGGGGUGACAGUUAAGAUCUUUUAAGGAAGACUGGGGAGAGAG